CUAUCGUUAGACCCUAAUCACUUGGCACUUGCCAUGGAAGCUCUUUAGCUAGGUUUCUCGGAUCGAUCCAUUCCUCCAUGGCGUCGCUCGAUCACAGGGAAGCACGGCGAGCACAGGUGCGCUGGGCUAGAAUCGAGGGGCUGAGCCCGGUGUUGCCGAUUCCACGCGAUAAUCUGGGCCUCGGCGGUGCUGGAUUGGGAUUCGCGAGCAUCAGCUUGUUUGGACGCCGCAAGCAAGAGAAUGCGGGCCGGGAGGAGGCUGCUCCGGCUCAAGCGGUGCCAUACUCGCCCAAGCGCGGGACGUAUGCGCAUGACGCUCUACAGCGGAGGUUUAAGGAGCUGGACAAGCAAAACGCUGGGCACAUAAGCGAGAAUGAUCUGAAAGCGGUGCUCAAGAGCCUCAAUCUCCCAUCGUCGGAAGAGAAUGUUCAAGAGUUUCUCGAUUCGCUUGGUGGCAAUACUGUGCCAUUUGAUCAGUUCGCGGAGUACGCUGUUAGCCGAGAAAACCUCCUGUUUGAUACCUUCAGAGAGCUCGACAAGAAUAACACAGGAUACCUUACUACGAACGAAAUAAAAGCCGCGUUGGUGAAAUACAAGUUCCGGUUUUCGGACAGUGAUCUGCAAGCACUUGCUCGGACCUACAGCAAAGUUGGUGCUGGUCCUUUUGAUGAAAACCAGCUCUUUGAUUUUGCUGAUUACAGGAAUUGCUUGAUGGCGUACAGUCAAAAGGAUCUGAUAGACGCGGAUCAAGUUUGGGCUCGAGCUGCGAUAGAUGUAGGGGACGUGGAUACAUCUUUCCCUCUUAUAUCUGCGAAGAAAGGAAAAGCUGGCGACCUCCUCCUGUCGAAGGACAAGAUAUUGAAGCAUUUGUCUCUUGGUGUGCUUGCCUCCGCAGUAACGAGGACGCUCGUGGCACCUCUGGAACGUGUGAAGCUUCUCUCAACGGUGGAUUCCAAUAUUGCUUUUGGGAAGGCUUUCGAAGAAAUCCGGAAGGACGAGGGGUUUCAAGGACUUUUUAGAGGCAACUUACUGAAUGUGGCCCGCGUGAUUCCAACCAGGGUCGUGGAGUUCCUUGUUUAUGACAAACUUAAAGAAACGCUGCUGAGUAAAAGAAAGCAGUCAGAAAUUUCUAAUUUCGAUCGCUUACUUUUGGGGACGUUUGCUUCUAUGGCUGGUGUUAUUGCCGGGUAUCCUCUGGAUACCAUGAGAACGGUUCUAGCGUCACAAUUACCAAACAGGCAUGUGGACGACUUGAUGGUAAAAUCUGCUUUGGACAAUGGCGGAUUUCUAAACUUGUACAGAGGCCUUAUACCCAACUUGGCGAGGGCAGUACCAUAUACUCUGAUAACUUUCACUGUAUUUAAUCAUUUGCAAGAACGUCAUAGACAAAAGACUGGUCCUGGUGGCGAGAUUAAAACUUCCGUGGAUGCUUUAUUCGGGAUAGUGGCGGCUACGGCGGCACAGACCCUGGUGCAUCCUCUCGAAGUGGUUCAACGGAGGUUGCAGGCUGAGACUGCAAAGCAAGGAGUACUGGUAUACAAUAACAUGAUAAAUGCUUUCCAAGUUAUCCUUGAAAAGGAGGGUGUAAAUGGCCUUUAUUCAGGGUUGGCCGCAAGCUAUGUCAAAAUUGUUCCUGCGACUGCGAUCUCCUUACUCCUGUAUAAAGCGCUCAAAGAAAAGCUCGACGAUAGGCAGAGGCGAUAAGGUUUGGCGAGUCACGUGUUCACUGUUUUAGCUGCUUCCAUUGUGGAAACUACUUAUUGAACCACAGCUUCCGAAAACAGUUUGAACGACUUGAUUAGUCACACGACUUGGGAGCCUGAAAAGGAAGGCCUUCAGAUUUGCUCCUGCAACUAGCAAAGUCACCUGGUUCUAUAUCCACAAGACCAUUAGAAGUAAAGCUCACGUACUCAAUGAGCUUAUCUCUCCGGUAUGCGCCUGUACUUCUUUUGGUUUUUGCACGCGAUCUUUGUGUCUUGUGCAACGUUUGUACAUUGUUUAAGACGGUUCUCUGACGAAAAGUUGCACAAGGCAUGACGAUUGCGAGAUGUUUCGAAGGCUAGAGCAUAGGCUUGCUGGUAGUGGUCGGCAAUGGUGAUCUGGAGGAGAGUAUUCUAAGAUGAUCGCGGCUGGCUGGUGACAAUAGUUCCCGCGGCUAGAUAGGCAGGAAGUUGAAGCGUCACGCUUGAGAGUUCCGGGUAGCAGAAGGAACACAGGGACAUUGUUGGGGCUGCAUAUGGACAGGAUCAAUCAGGGAAAAGCUAGCUAGCAGCAAAGCGAGCUGUGGUACCGUCGAAAUGAGAAGUUGGCGAAAUGUGAGGAAGAAGGGUCGUCCAACAGAAGGGACGUAUCAAAGUCCGGGAAAAUGGAAAGACCCAAGGAAAAGGAAGGCGGAGGCAGCCACGCGUUGGACAUAGACUGGAAAUUCCAAUGAAUGCGCGUGUUGGGCGUCUCCAGACAACGACGAGGACGUUGAUAAGUUAAAUCAAUAUGAAGUACCAGGUAGCAAGCAAGCCAAGCAGAAGAGGCAGGGGGAGAGGAAAAUCACAAGAGAAAUGAUAAGCUCCGCGAUUAGAAGGCUGAUGGUGGUGCAUUUGGUGACGAGGAAAGGAGGCAGCAGAGUAGCAGCAGUAGCAGUGGCAGAAACAGCAGUAGCAGAGCAGCAACUCAUCAGGCACAGACCACCUCUUUAGUGUUUUUCUUUUAUGCUGUUCUUGCUGGCUAUGGUGGGGAGAGGUGGGAAGCUUGGGGAAGUGUCACAUACAUAGGGAAGAGAAAGAACAGAUGAAGGAUUGAAGAAGAGGAGGCUGCUGUUGUACUAGACACACUCUAGUACAGAGGUUUGGACAGGAGGUCAUAAUUAGCAUCAUAUGAAUUCCCAUCUCAUGCAAGGAAAAACAGCAGCAUUUAGUA
Molecule: RNA transcript, 2912 nt
Organism: Selaginella moellendorffii
Lineage: Eukaryota; Viridiplantae; Streptophyta; Lycopodiopsida; Selaginellales; Selaginellaceae
Exons: 15
Source: RefSeq, a predicted model, not a curated record